UCAGGUCUAUGUCUCCGAGCCGUUUCACCUGGCGGAUUCUUCCUACGGUGCACGGCCUAUGGGUUCGGUUGGAAACGGCCGGGCCUCCCACGCUUGGAAAGGAGAAUCAGCCACCCUUUU
This 120-nucleotide non-coding RNA is filed under the name Geothermobacter hydrogeniphilus. RNAcentral describes it as "Geothermobacter sp. EPR-M Molybdenum/Tungsten riboswitch aptamer (Moco RNA motif)". It matches the Rfam family "Molybdenum/Tungsten riboswitch aptamer (Moco RNA motif)". The record is from Rfam by way of RNAcentral. RNAcentral also lists the same sequence under 1 other name. Lineage: Bacteria; Pseudomonadati; Thermodesulfobacteriota; Desulfuromonadia; Desulfuromonadales; Geothermobacteraceae.